Molecule: non-coding RNA, 95 nt
Filed under: Kocuria rosea subsp. polaris
Lineage: Bacteria; Bacillati; Actinomycetota; Actinomycetes; Micrococcales; Micrococcaceae
Description: Kocuria polaris SAM-I sequence
Rfam family: SAM riboswitch aptamer (S box leader)
About the family: The SAM riboswitch is found upstream of a number of genes which code for proteins involved in methionine or cysteine biosynthesis in Gram-positive bacteria.
Source: RNAcentral
GCCCCAUUCAGAGCGGCUGAGAGAUCUGGCUCGACGACGCCGCAGCAACCCGCCCUCCACCGGGGUCAGGGUGCUAAUGCCAGAACCGAUGGAGA